CUAUGAAGCACAAGAUAGGUUAGUUUGACGAUCUGCAGUCUACAGAACAAUGAGUCUCCCAUGCACCACCACCCACCGGAAAAAGAGUGCGGCAGUGACUGACAAGGAAACUUUCAAUAGCCUAAUAUCUAUGCUGACCAAUGUUUUUUGAAGAUGACAUUCAUUACGAAGCAUAUGGAACUGACCCCCAUCAGCAGGAUAUGAAAACAACCAGGGUGACUCUUCGGCAGGCCCAUCCUUACUGAGUCCUCACUUCUUCACAGUAAGCUGCAAAGCUGGUGUUACAGAAGCUGGGAUUCCAAGGGCCUCGGUAAUGAGCCUGAAGCGAGGGGAAGGAGCCGGAAGCUGCUAUGGAUAAUGAGAAAACCAAAUGGGCGGAGAGUAACAGUGACAACAGAUAGCUCUGUCUUGUGUAAAUUAGGUUUGUUCAGAAGCAACAGAAGCUUGAAUAAACUCAAAGUGAAAUACCAUCUUCAGGCUCAUGUUACCUUCAAAAGCAAUUGAAAAAGCUAAAAAGUAA
Non-coding RNA from Microcebus murinus (gray mouse lemur), 520 nucleotides. The record is from RefSeq and is a predicted model, not a curated record. Lineage: Eukaryota; Metazoa; Chordata; Mammalia; Primates; Cheirogaleidae.